RNAcentral lists this ribosomal RNA (547 nucleotides) under uncultured Glomeromycotina. RNAcentral describes it as "SSU rRNA". It matches the Rfam family "Eukaryotic small subunit ribosomal RNA", at positions 548 to 1097 of the family's 1831-position model. The record is from RNAcentral. Lineage: Eukaryota; Fungi; Glomeromycota.
UUGGAGGGCAAGUCUGGUGCCAGCAGCCGCGGUAAUUCCAGCUCCAAUAGCGUAUAUUAAAGUUGUUGCAGUUAAAAAGCUCGUAGUUGAAUUUCGGGGUCAGUAGGCUGGUCGUGCCUCAGGUACGUACUGGUCUUACUGAUUCCUCCUUUCUGACGAACCGUAAUGCCAUUAAUUUGGUGUUGCGGGGAAUCUGGACUGUUACUUUGAAAAAAUUAGAGUGUUUAAAGCAGGCUAACGCUUGAAUACAUUAGCAUGGAAUAAUGAAAUAGGACGAUCGAUCCUAUUUUGUUGGUUUCUAGGAUUGACGUAAUGAUUAAUAGGGAUAGUUGGGGGCAUUAGUAUUCAAUUGUCAGAGGUGAAAUUCUUGGAUUUAUUGAAGACUAACUACUGCGAAAGCAUUUGCCAAGGAUGUUUUCAUUAAUCAAGAACGAAAGUUAGGGGAUCGAAGACGAUCAGAUACCGUCGUAGUCUUAACCAUAAACUAUGCCGACUAGGGAUCGGAUGAUGUUAAUUUUUAAUGACUCAUUCGGCGCCUUACGGGAAA